Molecule: ribosomal RNA, 154 nt
Filed under: Thanatephorus cucumeris
Lineage: Eukaryota; Fungi; Basidiomycota; Agaricomycetes; Cantharellales; Ceratobasidiaceae
Description: 5.8S ribosomal RNA
Rfam family: 5.8S ribosomal RNA
About the family: 5.8S ribosomal RNA (5.8S rRNA) is a component of the large subunit of the eukaryotic ribosome. It is transcribed by RNA polymerase I as part of the 45S precursor that also contains 18S and 28S rRNA. Functionally, it is thought that 5.8S rRNA may be involved in ribosome translocation.
Source: RNAcentral
AGUUUCAACAACGGAUCUCUUGGCUCUCGCAUCGAUGAAGAACGCAGGGGAAUGCGAUAAGUAAUGUGAAUUGCGGAAUUCAGUGAAUCAUCGAAUCUUUGAACGCACCUUGCGCUCCUUGGUAUUCCUUGGAGCAUGCCUGUUUGAGUAUCCU